GACGAACGCUGGCGGCGUGCUUAACACAUGCAAGUCGAACGGUGAACGAGGGAGCUUGCUCCCUCCGGAUCAGUGGCGAACGGGUGAGUAACACGUGAGCAAUCUGCCCCGAACUCUGGGAUAAGCGUUGGAAACGACGUCUAAUACCGGAUACGACGCGGGAGGGCAUCCUCUCCGCGUGGAAAGAACUUCGGUUCGGGAUGAGCUCGCGGCCUAUCAGCUUGUUGGUGAGGUAACGGCUCACCAAGGCGACGACGUGUAGCCGGCCUGAGAGGGUGACCGGCCACACUGGGACUGAGACACGGCCCAGACUCCUACGGGAGGCAGCAGUGGGGAAUAUUGCGCAAUGGGCGCAAGCCUGAUGCAGCAACGCCGCGUGAGGGACGACGGCCUUCGGGUUGUAAACCUCUUUUAGCAGGGAAGAAGCGAAAGUGACGGUACCUGCAGAAAAAGCACCGGCUAACUACGUG
RNAcentral lists this ribosomal RNA (470 nucleotides) under uncultured bacterium. RNAcentral describes it as "partial 16S ribosomal RNA". It matches the Rfam family "Bacterial small subunit ribosomal RNA", at positions 28 to 507 of the family's 1533-position model. The record is from RNAcentral.